UGUAUUAAAAAGGCAGUUUGGAUUAAUUUGAAAGAAUUAAAAAAAAGGCUUGCAAAGGGAAUUUUUUAAGCGAUAAUACGCAGCCCUCACAGUUGAGGGACAGGGAAGAAAAAGCGGGCUUGGUAGGCUAAAUAAAAUUAGUCAUAAAAAAGCUUGCAAAAGGAAUUAAAACGGCGAUAAUAUCGCACCCUUCCGUACGAAAUGUCGGAAGUAGAUUUUUAAGUAAAUUAAAAAGUAAAUAGAUAACUUUUGUGGGCACUUGGAGAAGAUGUAUUAAGGUACAAAACGACAAGUGACCAUAAUUAAUAAUCACGUAAUUUUUUUGAUAUAUAGUUAGUGGUCAAACUGGUGGUUCUGUAACAGGAACUGCCCGCAAGUAAUUAGGGUUUGCAUUUAUGUAGGCCCGAACAAUUAAUUGAAGAGUUUGAUCCUGGCUCAGAUUGAACGCUGGCGGUAUGCCUAACACAUGCAAGUCGAACGGUAACAGAGGAAAGCUUGCUUUCUUGCUGACGAGUGGCGGACGGGUGAGUAACGCGUGGGAAUCUACCCAGUAGUUGGGGAUAGCCCGGAGAAAUCCGGAUUAAUACCGAAUAAUGUCUACGGACGAAAAGGUGCCUCUUCUUGAAAGCACUUGCUAUUGGAUGAGCCCGCGUUAGAUUAGUUUGUUGGUGGGGUAACGGCCUACCAAGACUACGAUCUAUAGCUGGUUUGAGAGGAUGAUCAGCCACAUUGGGACUGAGACACGGCCCAGACUCCUACGGGAGGCAGCAGUGGGGAAUAUUGGACAAUGGGCGCAAGCCUGAUCCAGCAAUACCGCGUGUGUGAAGAAGGCCUUAGGGUUGUAAAGCACUUUUAUGUAGGAAGAAGGUUUGUUUGUUAAUAGCAGAUGAAUUUGACGGUACUACAAGAAUAAGCACCGGCUAACUCCGUGCCAGCAGCCGCGGUAAUACGGAGGGUGCGAGCGUUAAUCGGAAUUACUGGGCGUAAAGGGUACGUAGGCGGCUUGAUAAGUCAGAUGUGAAAUCCCCGGGCUUAACCUGGGAACUGCAUUUGAAACUGUCUGGCUAGAGUGAGUGAGAGGUUAGUGGAAUUCAAGGCGUAGCGGUGAAAUGCGUAGAGGUCUUGAGGAACAUCAGUGGCGAAGGCGACUAACUGGCACUACACUGACGCUGAGGUACGAAAGCGUGGGGAGCGAACAGGAUUAGAUACCCUGGUAGUCCACGCCCUAAACGAUGAGGACUGGCUGUUGGCGCUAUAGACGCGUCGGUAGCGAAGCUAACGCGUUAAGUUCUCCGCCUGGGGAGUACGACCGCAAGGUUGAAACUCAAAGGAAUUGACGGGGGCCCGCACAAGCGGUGGAGCAUGUGGUUUAAUUCGAUGCAACGCGAAGAACCUUACCAUCCCUUGACAUCCUCAGAACGGUCUGUAAUGGACCCGUGCCUUCGGGAACUGAGUGACAGGUGCUGCACGGCUGUCGUCAGCUCGUGUCGUGAGAUGUUGGGUUAAGUCCCGCAACGAGCGCAACCCCUAUCUAUAGUUGCCAGCACGUAAUGGUGGGAACUCUAUAGAGACUGCCGGUGAUAAGCCGGAGGAAGGUGGGGACGACGUCAAGUCAUCAUGGCCCUUACGGGAUGGGCUACACACGUGCUACAAUGGUGCAUACAGAGGGUUGCCAAGCCGCGAGGUGGAGCUAAUCCCAGAAAGUGCAUCUUAGUCCGGAUUGCAGUCUGCAACUCGACUGCAUGAAGUCGGAAUCGCUAGUAAUCGCGAAUCAGCAAUGUCGCGGUGAAUACGUUCCCGGGCCUUGUACACACCGCCCGUCACACCAUGGGAGUGGGUUGCUCCAGAAGUGGCUAGUCUAACCUUCGGGAAGACGGUCACCACGGAGUGAUUCAUGACUGGGGUGAAGUCGUAACAAGGUAGCCGUUGGGGAACCAGUGGCUGGAUCACCUCCUA
RNAcentral lists this ribosomal RNA (1956 nucleotides) under Marinicella litoralis. Its description in RNAcentral is "bacterial SSU rRNA". The stretch from base 413 to 1956 matches the Rfam family "Bacterial small subunit ribosomal RNA". The record is from RNAcentral. Lineage: Bacteria; Pseudomonadati; Pseudomonadota; Gammaproteobacteria; Lysobacterales; Marinicellaceae.